RNAcentral lists this ribosomal RNA (269 nucleotides) under uncultured bacterium. RNAcentral describes it as "partial 16S ribosomal RNA". It matches the Rfam family "Bacterial small subunit ribosomal RNA", at positions 88 to 354 of the family's 1533-position model. The record is from RNAcentral.
CCGGCGACCGGCGCACGGUGAGUAACGCGUAUGCAACCUGCCCGUUUCAGCGGGAUAACCCGGAGAAAUCCGGCCUAAUACCGCAUGUGGCCGAGGGGAGGCAUCUUCUUUCGGCCAAAGGAGGCGACUCCGGAGACGGAUGGGCAUGCGUGACAUUAGCUUGUUGGCGGGGUAACGGCCCACCAAGGCGACGAUGUCUAGGGGUUCUGAGAGGAAGGUCCCCCACACUGGUACUGAGACACGGACCAGACUCCUACGGGAGGCAGCAG